AGCUUUGCGCAGUGGCAGUAUCGUAGCCAAUGAGGUUUAUCCGAGGCACAAUUAUUGCUAAUUGAAACUAUAUUUAUAAAUUUACAUCUAGAAAUCCCAUUAUAAUAGAUAAAAUUCUAUCACAAUAAAAGCAUC
Molecule: small nuclear RNA, 135 nt
Organism: Neomonachus schauinslandi (Hawaiian monk seal)
Lineage: Eukaryota; Metazoa; Chordata; Mammalia; Carnivora; Phocidae
Product: U4 spliceosomal RNA
Exons: 1
Source: RefSeq, a predicted model, not a curated record